Molecule: ribosomal RNA, 242 nt
Filed under: uncultured bacterium
Lineage: Bacteria
Description: partial 16S ribosomal RNA
Rfam family: Bacterial small subunit ribosomal RNA
Source: RNAcentral
UCUAGUGGCGGACGGGUGAGUAACGCGUGAGUAACCUGCCCUAAAGAGGGGAAUAACAACGAGAAAUCGUUGCUAAUACCGCAUAAGACCACGGUGCCGCAUGGCACAGAGGUCAAAGAUUUAUCGCUUAGGAUGGACUCGCGUCCCAUUAGCUAGUUGGUAGGGUAAAGGCCUACCAAGGCGACGAUGGGUAGCCGAGCUGAGAGGCUGAUCGGCCACACUGGGACUGAGACACGGCCCAG